UAGGGAAUGUUGGACAAUGGGCGCAAGCCUGAUCCAGCCAUGCCGCGUGAGUGAAGAAGGCCCUCGGGUUGUAAAGCUCUUUUGUCCGGAAAGAAAAGCAUCGGGUUAAUACCCCGGUGUUCUGACGGUACCGGAAGAAUAAGCACCGGCUAACUUCGUGCCAGCAGCCGCGGUAAUACGAAGGGUGCAAGCGUUACUCGGAAUUACUGGGCGUAAAGCGUGCGUAGGUGGUUCGUUAAGUCUGAUGUGAAAGCCCUGGGCUCAACCUGGGAAUGGCAUUGGAAACUGGCGGACUGGAGUGCGGUAGAGGGUAGCGGAAUUCCCGGUGUAGCAGUGAAAUGCGUAGAGAUCGGGAGGAACAUCCGUGGCGAGGGCGGCUACCUGGACCAGCACUGACACUGAGGCACGAAAGCGUGGGGAGCAAACA
Molecule: ribosomal RNA, 427 nt
Filed under: uncultured bacterium
Lineage: Bacteria
Description: bacterial SSU rRNA
Rfam family: Bacterial small subunit ribosomal RNA
Source: RNAcentral